UACGGGGGGAGCAAGCGUUGUUCGGAUUUACUGGGCGUAAAGGGCGCGUAGGCGGUCAGCACAAGUCAGUUGUGAAAUCUCCGGGCUUAACUCGGAAAGGUCAACUGAUACUGUGCGACUAGAGUGCAGAAGGGGCAACUGGAAUUCUCGGUGUAGAGGUGAAAUGCGUAGAUAUCGAGAGGAACACCUGCGGCGAAGGCGGGUUGCUGGGCUGACACUGACGCUGAUGCGCGAAAGCCAGGGGAGCGAACGGG
Molecule: ribosomal RNA, 254 nt
Filed under: uncultured bacterium
Lineage: Bacteria
Description: partial 16S ribosomal RNA
Rfam family: Bacterial small subunit ribosomal RNA
Source: RNAcentral